UCCACAUCCUUGGAAGCCAUGGAUUCUGGUGGCUUUCACGGCGGAGACGGUGGUUAGGGUUUGAGAACCUUCGAGUGGGUUUGAGAGACUGCAUGAUUCAAGGGCGGCGUUUGGGUGAUGAAUGAACAGGGUUUGGGAGGGUUGGCAAAUUAAAAAGGAAAUAAUGAAAUGUGGUCAUUGAUCAUUUUGAUCAACAGCUUGGAUUAAACGAGGAGUCGGGCGGGUUGUUUGAGCAGGUUGUGGGUCAGGUAAACUUAUGAUUUGGGCAGGGUAAUGGGUUUUGAACUGAGUUCAACUAUGAGUGCCAGAUCUGGCUAAAUAAGAAAUAAAAAAU
RNAcentral lists this long non-coding RNA (334 nucleotides) under Nicotiana benthamiana. RNAcentral describes it as "long non-coding RNA (NBEN_LNC006547)". Lineage: Eukaryota; Viridiplantae; Streptophyta; Magnoliopsida; Solanales; Solanaceae. The record is from RNAcentral.